RNAcentral lists this ribosomal RNA (472 nucleotides) under uncultured Methanosaeta sp. RNAcentral's name for it is "bacterial SSU rRNA". It matches the Rfam family "Archaeal small subunit ribosomal RNA", at positions 871 to 1337 of the family's 1478-position model. Lineage: Archaea; Methanobacteriati; Methanobacteriota; Methanomicrobia; Methanotrichales; Methanotrichaceae. The record is from RNAcentral.
UUGACGGGGAGCACUACAACGGGUGGAGCCUGCGGUUUAAUUGGAUUCAACGCCGGAAAUCUCGCCGGGGCGACAGCAAUAUGAAGGUCAGGCUGAAGACCUUACCCGAUUAGCUGAGAGGUGGUGCAUGGCCGUCGUCAGUUCGUACUGUGAAGCAUCCUGUUAAGUCAGGCAACGAGCGAGACCCACGUCCACAGUUGCCAGCAUACCCUCCGGGGUGAUGGGUACACUGUGGAGACCGCCGCUGCUAAAGCGGAGGAAGGAGUGGGCAACGGUAGGUCAGUAUGCCCCGAAUCUCCCGGGCUACACGCGGGCUACAAUGGUUGGUACAAUGGGCAUCUACCCCGAAAGGGGAAGGAAAUCUCUUAAAGCCAAUCGUAGUUCGGAUUGAGGGCUGCAACUCGCCCUCAUGAAGCUGGAAUCCGUAGUAAUCGCGUUUCAACAGAACGCGGUGAAUACGUCCCUGCUCCCU